GAAGAUACGCGCGUUCGCCGGCCGGGCGUAAAGUACAUUAUGAUAUAUAACAACCAUCGAGAUCGAAGCUCCGUUCGUCAGGAAACGACGGGAUAUAUACACCCGAUUCUGAAUCCUCUGUACAGCACACGAUCUCGCGAACGAGUAAGCACGGUGGCUAGCCCAUGUUAUAUAUGUGUUUGAUUCUACUCUCUCGUCCAAUUAUUCAAGAAACAGCGCGCGUGCAUCUCUCCAUCGUUCGGGUGAUAGUAAAGAUUCGAUGGGAUUCGCGCGGCCGUCCGCCUCGAGCGGUCUUUCGUCCCAAUAUCCAGAAGCAGAGUUUGAAAAACUCUAGCGACGGCACGGGUGUCCGACUCACGACAUCGAGGAAAGACAGCCGGUCCCCUCUGAACGGUAUAUUAUAUGAAACUUUAAGUCUCGUUCAGGUAGUGUGUAAGUCAAAAAUUCGAUGGGACUCGCAUCCGUCGUCCUCCGCGCGGUCUUUCGUCCCGAAUCCAGAAGCAGAGUUUGAAAAACUCUAGCGACGGCACGGGUGUCCGACUCACGACAACGAGGAUAGACAGCCGGUCCCCUCUGACGGUAUAUAAUAUGAAACUUUAAGUCUCGUUCAGGUAGUGUGUAAGUCAAAAAUUCGAUGGGCCUCGCAUCCGUCGUCCUCGCGCGGUCUUUCGUCCCGAUAUCCAGAAGCAGAGUUUGAAAAACUCUAGCGACGGCACGGGUGUCCGACUCACGACAACGAGGAUAGACAGCCGGUCCCCUCUGAACGGUAUAUAAUAUACAUUAUGCGACGAUGAUAGACGACAAACUGGAUGAAACUUUAAGUCUCGUUCAGGUAGUGUGUAAGUCAAAAAUUCGAUGGGACUCGCAUCCGUCGUCCUCGCGCGGUCUUUCGUCCCGAUAUCCAGAAGCAGAGUUUGAAAAACUCUAGCGACGGCACGGGUGUCCGACUCACGACAACGAGGAUAGACAGCCGGUCCCCUCUGAACGGUAUAUUAUAUAUGCGAUGAUAGACGACAAACUGGAUGAAACUUUAAGUCUCGUUCAGGUAGUGUGUAAAUAAAAAAUUCGAUGGGACUCGCAUCCGUCGUCCUCGCGCGGUCUUUCGUCCCGAUAUCCAGAAGCAGAGUUUGAAAAACUCUAGCGACGGCACGGGUGUCCGACUCACGACAACGAGGAAAGACAGCCGGUCCCCUCUGAACGGUAUAUUAUAUGAAACUUUAAGUCUCGUUCAGGUAGUGUGUAAGUCAAAAAUUCGAUGGGACUCGCAUCCGUCGUCCUCGCGCGGUCUUUCGUCCCGAUAUCCAGAAGCAGAGUUUGAAAAACUCUAGCGACGGCACGGGUGUCCGACUCACGACAACGAGGAUAGACAGCCGGUCCCCUCUGAACGGUAUAUAAUAUGAAACUUUAAGUCUCGUUCAGGUAGUGUGUAAGUCAAAAAUUCGAUGGGACUCGCAUCCGUCGUCCUCGCGCGGUCUUUCGUCCCGAUAUCCAGAAGCAGAGUUUGAAAAACUCUAGCGACGGCACGGGUGUCCGACUCACGACAACGAGGAUAGACAGCCGGUCCCCUCUGAACGGUAUAUAAUAUACAUUAUGCGACGAUGAUAGACGACAAACUGGAUGAAACUUUAAGUCUCGUUCAGGUAGUGUGUAAAUCAAAAAUUCGAUGGGACUCG
This is a long non-coding RNA of Bombus huntii, 1673 nucleotides long. RefSeq lists it as uncharacterized. Lineage: Eukaryota; Metazoa; Arthropoda; Insecta; Hymenoptera; Apidae. The record is from RefSeq and is a predicted model, not a curated record. The transcript is spliced from 5 exons.